Molecule: transfer RNA, 72 nt
Filed under: Bos taurus (domestic cattle)
Lineage: Eukaryota; Metazoa; Chordata; Mammalia; Artiodactyla; Bovidae
Also listed under: 1 other name
Rfam family: tRNA
About the family: Transfer RNA (tRNA) molecules are approximately 80 nucleotides in length. Their secondary structure includes four short double-helical elements and three loops (D, anti-codon, and T loops).
Source: Rfam by way of RNAcentral
UCCCUGUUGGCUCAGAUAGUAGAGAAUCUGCCUGCAAUGCAGGAGACCUGGGUUUGAUCCCCAGGUCAGGAG